RNAcentral lists this ribosomal RNA (256 nucleotides) under uncultured bacterium. Its description in RNAcentral is "partial 16S ribosomal RNA". It matches the Rfam family "Bacterial small subunit ribosomal RNA", at positions 521 to 776 of the family's 1533-position model. The record is from RNAcentral.
UAAGACGAACCGUGCGAACGUUAUUCGGAAUCACUGGGCUUAAAGGGAGCGUAGGCGGGCUAUCAAGUCUGGGGUGAAAUCCCGCGGCUCAACCGUGGAACUGCCUCAGAUACUGACGGCCUCGAGGGAGAUAGGGGCAUGCGGAACUGUAGGUGGAGCGGUGAAAUGCGUUGAUAUCUACAGGAACUCCGGUGGCGAAAGCGGCGUGCUGGAUCUCUUCUGACGCUGAGGCUCGAAAGCUAGGGGAGCAAACGGG